GGGGGCGUUUAUGGAUUCGACGGGGGUAGUUCGAGCAUGGGUUGCGGGUAGUGGGGACGCGUCCGCUUUAUCAACGCUAAAGCCUAUUAAAUGGCAACCAACGUACUUCUUUAGCAGCAGCCUAAGAAACUGCACGCUAAGCUCCUCUCCAGCAUCGCCUAUGUGCCGGAUGUAGGGGCUCACCCUUAGUAGGCUACGCUGUCACAUCUCCGCCUGGGGUGUGCUGAAGAAGACAAUCAGGCUGACCCAGAUCGCAGCCGGUUACGGGGCGUCGGCCUGGGUGACAUCAAAUCCGUGACUACACCCGUAGAUGCCUGUGUGCCGUUGCCUUCGGACAGGGGUUCAAAUCCCCUCGCCUCCAUAC
This is a non-coding RNA of Paenibacillus sp. D9, 364 nucleotides long. It matches the Rfam family "transfer-messenger RNA". Rfam says of the family: Bacterial tmRNA, also known as 10Sa RNA or SsrA, is named for its dual tRNA and mRNA-like properties. The record is from Rfam. Lineage: Bacteria; Bacillati; Bacillota; Bacilli; Caryophanales; Paenibacillaceae.